AACGACGGUCAUUCUGUCGCUGCCGAGGUAACUCGGGAGAGGAAAGUCCGGACAACAAAGAGUGCCAUACUUCCUAACGGGACGGCGCCCGAAAGGGUGACAGCGAGUGUCACAGAAAACAACCGCCCCGCGCCUGUCGCAGGGUAAGGGUGAAAACGUGAGGUAAGAGCUCACGCCGUUGGCAGUGAUGUCAAUCGGGGAUAAACCUUAUGGGUUGAAAGACCAAGUAAACCGGGGUUUGAGGGUGGCUCGCCCAACCCGGAGGGUAGGUCGUUAGAGCGUAAAGGCAACAAUACGCCUAGAUAAAUGACAGAACUAGACAGAAUCCGGCUUAUAGACCGUUGUUUUUU
This 350-nucleotide RNase P RNA is filed under the name Bacteroidales bacterium. RNAcentral describes it as "RNase P RNA component class A". It matches the Rfam family "Bacterial RNase P class A". Rfam says of the family: Ribonuclease P (RNase P) is a ubiquitous endoribonuclease, found in archaea, bacteria and eukarya as well as chloroplasts and mitochondria. Its best characterised activity is the generation of mature 5'-ends of tRNAs by cleaving the 5'-leader elements of precursor-tRNAs. Cellular RNase Ps are ribonucleoproteins. Lineage: Bacteria; Pseudomonadati; Bacteroidota; Bacteroidia; Bacteroidales. The record is from RNAcentral.